GAUGAACGCUGGCGGCGUGCCUAAUACAUGCAAGUCGAGCGAACGGACGAGAAGCUUGCUUCUCUGAUGUUAGCGGCGGACGUGUGAGUAACACGUGGAUAACCUACCUAUAAUACUGGGAUAACUUCGGGAAACCGGAGCUAAUACCGGAUAAUAUUUUGAACCGCAUGGUUCAAAAGUGAAAGUCGGUCUUUCUGUCUCUUAUAGAUGGAUCCGCGCUGCAUUAGCUAGUUGGUAAGGUAACGGCUUACCAAGGCAACGAUGCAUAGCCGACCUGAGAGGGUGAUCGGCCACACUGGAACUGAGACACGGACCAGACUCCUACGGGAGGCAGCAGUAGGGAAUCUUACGCAAUGGGCGAAAGCAUGACGGAGCAACGCCGCGUGAGUGAUGAAGGUCUUCGGAUCGUAAAACUCUGUUAUUAGGGAAGAACAUAUGUGUAAGUAACUGUGCACAUCUUGACGGUACCUAAUCAGAAAGCAACGGCUAACUACGUG
Molecule: ribosomal RNA, 497 nt
Filed under: uncultured bacterium
Lineage: Bacteria
Description: partial 16S ribosomal RNA
Rfam family: Bacterial small subunit ribosomal RNA
Source: RNAcentral